This 515-nucleotide ribosomal RNA is filed under the name uncultured bacterium. RNAcentral's name for it is "bacterial SSU rRNA". It matches the Rfam family "Bacterial small subunit ribosomal RNA", at positions 8 to 518 of the family's 1533-position model. The record is from RNAcentral.
AGAGUUUGAUCAUGGCUCAGGAUGAACGCUGGCGGCGUGCCUAACACAUGCAAGUCGAACGAAGCAUACGGACCGGAGAUUCGUCGAAGGACUGUAUGACUUAGUGGCGGACGGGUGAGUAAUGUAUGAGCAACCUGCCUUUCAGAGGGGGACAACAGUUGGAAACGACUGCUAAUACCGCGUAACGUAUCGUGAGGGCAUCCUCGUGAUACCAAAGGAGCAAUCCGCUGAAAGAUGGGCUCAUAUCUGAUUAGCUUGUUGGCGGGGUAACGGCCCACCAAGGCGACGAUCAGUAGCCGGACUGAGAGGUUGAACGGCCACAUUGGGACUGAGAUACGGCCCAGACUCCUACGGGAGGCAGCAGUGGGGAAUAUUGGGCAAUGGGCGAAAGCCUGAACCCCAGCAACGCCGCGUGAAGGAAGAAGGUCUUCGGAUUGUAAACUUCUUUUAUGAGGGACGAAGGACGUGACGGUACCUCAUGAAUAAGCCACGGCUAACUACGUGCCAGCCGCUGC